CCCCGGGGCCCCCGCUCACCCAGGUAGCGGCUCCUCAGCCGGGACGGGUCUUCCAGCCCAAGGGACCUUUUCCUCACGUCCCACAACAGGUGCGGGCAGGAGCCACUCCGAGACAUGGCUCUGCUGGGGCUGGGGUGGAAAGGGGAGACCACCGCGGGGGGUGGGGAGGGGAAGAGAGGGAGGGGACAGGCCGAUCAACACCCGAGCGGCACCAGCACCAUGCGCGCGCCGGGCCUCGCUGGCGCCGCGACUUAGAGGGCGGCAGCCACGGCCGCGCCUUCUCCCCGGGAGCGGAGAGGCACCCGGGCCACUGCUCGCCACAUACUCUCCUCAGACUACCCAGAACAUCUAGAGAUCAGCAACAGUCCCCUCCCUCGACCCCCCUCCCGCAGGAGGCGGAGGCGAAGGCGGAGGCGGCCGC
Molecule: long non-coding RNA, 421 nt
Filed under: Rattus norvegicus (Norway rat)
Lineage: Eukaryota; Metazoa; Chordata; Mammalia; Rodentia; Muridae
Description: long non-coding RNA NONRATT008417
Source: RNAcentral